UGAUUGAUGAUGAUCGAUCCAUCCGACGAGCUCGCUAACCACUCGCUCACCGAACCAAAACAUGGCUCCUCCCUCUCCGCCUGCGAAAAUCCUAGAUCCCGUCGUCCUCCUCCACCACCAACGCCGCCCCUAGCUCGCCUGCACGACGCUCCAGCCCGCGCGCCGUCACCGUAAUGGGCGCGGAUGGCUUGCUCGCCGGAACGCCCGUGCCCCGUCGAGCUCGCCUGCCCGCUUCCGCGAGGGUGCUCCACGACGGACGCCGGCCGGCGAUGAUGAAUCCGGCCGGGAGAGCAAACGUCCUACACCGCCACCGCCGCAGCACCGCCCCGGCUCAGACUCCUCCCACGCCGGCUGCAUACUACUUCACCAUAUGAUGGAUUGCUGCACCUUACCUGCCAUACCACCGCGUCUACUUCCUCGCUGCUGCCUCCUUUUAGAAGCUCGUCAACAUCGGUUUCCAAAGGUCGAUUUUUUUUCCUUUGUUCAUGCUUGGAUAGAUUGCUGCCAUGCUAUCCAAUACUAUUCUGCAUGGUGCUCUGGGCCGUGGCAUUCGUGCCACUACUGUCUCUGCGUGUCUAUGCAAGCCAAGCAAUAUACUUUUUUCCAAUGUGUGAGGUGCAUAAGCAUGUGGCAUGGCUCGCCUUCCGCCCUCUCUCCUGUGCCAGGCUGACUUGCCGGUGGAUGUCCACGUCGCCCACAAGGCAGGCGUCCCUCCGACACGAUGCUCCUUCGCUCAGACGUCAUUCUCGUCUCCAAAAGUAAGCACCUUUCUGUCUAUUCCCCCUCCUAACCCUUCUUGGCUUGGAUAUGCGUUUAGCCUAGACAUUGGAUGACGUCGACAAAUUUGCUUUGUUUGCAUUGUAGAAAAUUCCGCUGCUUGGUCCUAGGCAGCGAUUUGGUUUAUUAUUGUGUGAGGUGUUUCUGGGGACAGGAACAUGCUGUGGUGUUUCCUUGCAUUUCUGCUUUCUGUACUACUUUUCUCGUUCAUUCUUAUUUAUACACACUCAAAUUGUUGGUUGUGCUUUAUGUUUAGGAUCUGGUGGUAGUAUAUGUGUUAAGAAUAAAAAUAAGAAACAAGGUGUUAAGCCUCCGUACAUGCACAUUUAUCUCCUUUUCUCCUACCCGUAGCCAGCUUGUAGAACCAUGUUUUGUUGUUGCUGCUAAUUUGGUUCACAAUCAAAUGGACAUACUUAUUACAAGUUGAAUUGUGUAUGCUCAAGUGCCCAGCACAGUAUUUUAGAUGGCUGCUAUCUCGAGUCUUUUCUACAUAUCAGCGUUUAGCUAUGCUGACCAUGAUUUGUUCUUGUCCGAGGAAAACACAAACUAAUCAACUCUGGUGGCCUUCUUCUUCGACUCCAUGUGUUUAGCAUGUAGAGAAAGAACAAUUAAGAAUGAUGAGCCAGAUCCUUAACUUUCUCUGUAUGUAUGUAAUCCACCUGGUCUGGUGCAGUGGUGUUGGGACACGGCCUGGCCUUGUCUGCCCAUGCGUCUAGCUCACGUCGGCUCUAGAGUCUAGCGCGACCUGGAAAGCUGUCGCUGCCAUGGCUUAUGUGUAAUAACUGCUGUUUCGGUCCUUGUAUUGUUUGGCCCAUGUAACAUCCUUCUUGUAAUGCUCCAAAAUUGGAGUUGUAAUAGUGUAGCAGUUGUUUACUUUUCCAUAUUUGUAGUCUUCGGUCAUGAGUGAAAAAGAUCUUUUGGUUACAUGUUAUAUGGUUGUGCUCUUGGCACUAUAUAUUGAAUA
Long non-coding RNA from Lolium perenne, 1741 nucleotides. RefSeq lists it as uncharacterized. NCBI's taxonomy places the organism in Eukaryota, Viridiplantae, Streptophyta, Magnoliopsida, Poales, Poaceae. The record is from RefSeq and is a predicted model, not a curated record.